GUCCUUGUAGCUUAACACAUAAAGCAUAGCACUGAAGAUGCUAAGACGACACCAACAAAAAUGUCCAAGGACA
Molecule: transfer RNA, 73 nt
Filed under: Florisuga mellivora
Lineage: Eukaryota; Metazoa; Chordata; Aves; Apodiformes; Trochilidae
Description: tRNA-Phe
Rfam family: tRNA
About the family: Transfer RNA (tRNA) molecules are approximately 80 nucleotides in length.
Source: RNAcentral